GUGCCAGCAGCCGCGGUAAGACAGAGGGUGCAAACGUUGUUCGGAAUUACUGGGCGUAAAGCGAGUGUAGGCGGUCUGCUAAGUCGGGUGUGAAAGCCCCGGGCUCAACCCGGGAAGUGCACUCGAAACUGGCAGGCUAGAGUAUCGGAGAGGUUGGUGGAAUUCUCGGUGUAGAGGUGAAAUUCGUAGAUAUCGAGAGGAACACCGGUGGCGAAGGCGGCCAACUGGACGAAUACUGACGCUGAGACUCGAAAGCGUGGGGAGCAAACAGGAUUAGAUACCCCGGUAGUCC
RNAcentral lists this ribosomal RNA (292 nucleotides) under uncultured bacterium. RNAcentral describes it as "partial 16S ribosomal RNA". It matches the Rfam family "Bacterial small subunit ribosomal RNA", at positions 505 to 796 of the family's 1533-position model. The record is from RNAcentral.